CACGUAGGGGCCAAGCGUUGUCCGGAUUUACUGGGCGUAAAGGGCGCGUAGGCGGUCGUGACAAGUCACUUGUGAAAUCUCCGGGCUUAACUCGGAACGGUCAAGUGAUACUGUCGGACUAGAGUACAGAAGGGGCAACUGGAAUUCUCGGUGUAGCGGUGAAAUGCGUAGAUAUCGAGAGGAACACCUGCGGCGAAGGCGGGUUGCUGGGCUGAUACUGACGCUGAGGCGCGGAAAGCCAGGGGAGCGAACGGG
Molecule: ribosomal RNA, 255 nt
Filed under: uncultured bacterium
Lineage: Bacteria
Description: partial 16S ribosomal RNA
Rfam family: Bacterial small subunit ribosomal RNA
Source: RNAcentral